AGCGAACGCUGGCGGCAGGCUUAACACAUGCAAGUCGAACGAACCCUUCGGGGUUAGUGGCGGACGGGUGAGUAACACGUGGGAACGUGCCCUUAGGUUCGGAACAACACAGGGAAACUUGUGCUAAUACCGGAUAAGCCCUUCGGGGAAAGGACUUAUCGCCUUUGGAGCGGCCCGCGUCUGAUUAGCUAGUUGGUGAG
Molecule: ribosomal RNA, 200 nt
Filed under: uncultured bacterium
Lineage: Bacteria
Description: partial 16S ribosomal RNA
Rfam family: Bacterial small subunit ribosomal RNA
Source: RNAcentral